GGGGAUUGAACCCAGGGAUGCUUUACCCCUGAGCUACACCUCCAUCCCUUUUUGUUUUGAGACAGGGUCUUGUUAAAUUGCUCAGGCUGGCCUUGAAUUUUCCAUCCUCUGUUUUAGUCUCCUAAGUAGCUGGGAUUAUAGGUUUACACCACUGAGUCUGGCAAAGAAUGUUCUCAUAAUUCAACGUUUUACUUUUGAGAGGCUUCCACUUCUCCACUCAUCAUCAUUUGAUCAUUCAUCCAUUCAUUGGCACCUACUGGAGCUGUAAACAUGAAACAUCAUAACUUCCAAGCAAUUACCACAUGAGAGUGAAAGUGCUCAUGUGGAGGUCUGUAUAGAAUGAGAAAAAUACUGUUCAGAACAUUCAAUUUGAUGAAAAUCAGAAAGCUUCAUGGACUCCAGAAUUUGAAUUGAGGUGGACAUAGAAGUAUAAUAUUUGCUAAGUGUAUAAACUGUUUGGAGGAAUAACAUGUACAAACAUUGGAGAUGUGAGGGAAAACACUGCAGUGGCUAACAACAAAGAGUUUGGCAUUUUUGGCAAAUAGUGCAAGGUCAGAGGGCAUUGAGUGAUGAAGAUUGAGCCAAAUUGGUGGCAGUAAGAAUUGGAAAGUAAGGAAAAUUAUGACUGGCAAUUUAGGAGGUGAAAUAAGAGGAAAUGGUGAUUCUUUGGAUAUAACGGUGAUAAGUUCAGGUUUAGAGACAUAGUGUUUGAAGGGCCAUUGGAUACAGAAGGAUGUUCACAAAGCCCUUCAACAUACAUGUCUGGAGCUUAGGAGAUUUGUGCAUUAGGAGACAGAGACACAUGAAAUAGCUGAGAACAAUUAAGGAGAGUGUGUAGGGGGUUAACAGAGAAGUUAGCUGAAAAUGAAGUCUCGGAAAAUACUUAAGGUAAG
This 893-nucleotide long non-coding RNA is filed under the name Marmota monax (woodchuck). Lineage: Eukaryota; Metazoa; Chordata; Mammalia; Rodentia; Sciuridae. The record is from RNAcentral.